UACGUAGGGUGCAAGCGUUGUCCGGAAUUAUUGGGCGUAAAGAGCUCGUAGGCGGUCUGUCGCGUCGGCUGUGAAAACCCGGAGCUCAACUCCGGGCCUGCAGUCGAUACGGGCAAACUGGAGUGUUGCAGGGGAGACUGGAAUUCCUGGUGUAGCGGUGAAAUGCGCAGAUAUCAGGAGGAACACCGGUGGCGAAGGCGGGUCUCUGGGCAACAACUGACGCUG
This 225-nucleotide ribosomal RNA is filed under the name uncultured bacterium. RNAcentral describes it as "partial 16S ribosomal RNA". It matches the Rfam family "Bacterial small subunit ribosomal RNA", at positions 524 to 748 of the family's 1533-position model. The record is from RNAcentral.